GGCCUGGUGGUCUGGCAGUUGGUUCCUUCUCUGGCGUCUGGAGGAGGUCCCGGGUUCAAUUCCCGGCCAGGCCC
This is a non-coding RNA of Gloeopeniophorella convolvens, 74 nucleotides long. The record is from the annotation of a GenBank genome assembly. Lineage: Eukaryota; Fungi; Basidiomycota; Agaricomycetes; Russulales.